GUCUACAGCCAUGCUAUCCUGAACAAGCCGGAUCCCGUCUGAUCUCGGAAGCUAAGCAGGGUUGGGCCUGGUUAGUACUCGGAUGGGAGAUCACCUAGGGAGGAAGACUAGGUGCUGUAGACA
Molecule: ribosomal RNA, 123 nt
Filed under: Pteropus alecto (black flying fox)
Lineage: Eukaryota; Metazoa; Chordata; Mammalia; Chiroptera; Pteropodidae
Source: RNAcentral